CAGGUGCAGUAGGUGCUAGUCUGUAGUGUGGAGUCGAGGACCUGAGAUUCCCCACUGUUUAAGGGAAAAUGCGAAGGUUCUUUUUCACUAACUGUAUCUUGGCCAAAACAACCGAGUAGGUACUGAGCUCGAACACGUACAACUAUUGUCUGAUCUUAGGACGAAGACCCCAUUCGAACCUUCUUGUCUUCCUGCCUUCAUCUAUCAUGCUCUUAGGGAAAUAUCUGCCCAACUCUAAGAACUUUCGAGCAUAUUUUGAUACAGUCAUGUCACCCUAGACCAGAUGUGCAAACUUCAUUUCCUUCAGAUGUCGGAGAUUCUCUGAAAGGUACUCUACAUUGAAGGCCGUCAAAAAUUAUUCCCAAGUGAAUGGAACGGGCAGGGUGGUUCGCUUGAGUUGCCACCAGCAGCCUACCUCUCCCACCAGCAUGUAGGCGGCAAGUAUGACCCUCUGUUCAAGAGUCACCCCAAGAGUCGUGAAAGUCUUUUCUGUCU
This 495-nucleotide long non-coding RNA is filed under the name Carica papaya (papaya). RNAcentral describes it as "long non-coding RNA (CPAP_LNC016013)". Lineage: Eukaryota; Viridiplantae; Streptophyta; Magnoliopsida; Brassicales; Caricaceae. The record is from RNAcentral.